Molecule: long non-coding RNA, 318 nt
Organism: Arvicola amphibius (Eurasian water vole)
Lineage: Eukaryota; Metazoa; Chordata; Mammalia; Rodentia; Cricetidae
Exons: 2
Source: RefSeq, a predicted model, not a curated record
UCUGAGACAGUCACCAUGAAGCCAGCCACCAGGUCAGACAUGCUGAAUCUUUCCCGAGGCCAGAAGAAGGCAUGUGGUCCCCUGGGUGGAGCUGGAGUUAAAGGAAGCUGUGAGUCAUGUGAUGGAGGUGCUGUGAACCAAAUUCAAGUCCUCUGGGAGAGCAGGGAAGACUUUUAACGGCUGACCCAUCUCUCCAGCCCAAGAUUCCAUGUUGCUUUUCCAAUAUGGUUGAUAAGAGUGGCCUUAUGUCCAUUGUGGUUGCAUUAUGGGAAUGAAAACAUGAAAUCUCCAUGACAAAAUAAACUCAGCUCAUCUGUA